Molecule: long non-coding RNA, 1055 nt
Organism: Megalobrama amblycephala (Wuchang bream)
Lineage: Eukaryota; Metazoa; Chordata; Actinopteri; Cypriniformes; Xenocyprididae
Exons: 3
Source: RefSeq, a predicted model, not a curated record
UAAAAACAAUGUUUAAAUGCUACAAGUAAAUUUAGGCAUGGCAGCAUUAUAUGGAUGGAUAUUCAUUUUGAGAUUGGCUAAAAAAUAAAUAUAACAGUGUAUUAAAUUAUUAGUGUUUUUACCGAUUAGCUUUGCCACCAUUUAACACACAUAAAGUUAAUCAAAAUAUAAAAAUGGCGGAAAUAAAUUCACAAUUAAAUAUCUAAUAUUGACCAAUACCGAUAUGAAUUACAAUAUCUGAUAAGGUACUGAUAAGUUGUGCAUCCCAACUCAGUAUUAUCAAUAAUAUUUUAGUAUCAAUAACCCCACUGAGCACACAAAAACUAAAACUAACAUGAUCACACAUCUACAAGCCACAGAAAGUUGUGCUUUUUCAGAUCUGCCAAGAAAAAGGAAGUCAUCAUUUGGUGUUUCCACCAAACCUCUUCCAGUUCAGACCAACUGCUGGCAAAGAGACGGACAACACACAGACAUAGAAAAGACUGGAUAGUGUCAGACAGGAGCAGGGCAUCCAUUAGGAAGACCACACAGGGCUCCAGACACUUCUCCAGUGAGAUAGACGUUAUCAGAUCCAUGUGUGUUUGGACCUCAGCGAUCUUCAAAAUAUCUUUUAUGUUCCACAGAAGAAAGUCAGUCGUACAGGUUUGGAACGACAUGAGAUAUGGUUUGGCAUCUUUAAAAACUGGAACUUGAGAGUGGAAACCUUUCUGUACAUCUUUGGAGAGCAGACGACAGUCAUUGGCGUGUCAAAGGGCCAAGUGUUCACAUAUGGUCACAUAGCUGAACUAAUGGCUGACAGGCCUCAGCAAGGGCAUUAAAGUGACCCUGCCUCCAGGACAACACAAGCACGGACCAGCGCUCUGUAAACAGGGAUCCAGAAAUCUGUAAACAUACAAUUAGGCCAUUAAUGUUGCACAAUGGACUACUCACUCCUGAUAUCUCAACCACAAUAUAAAAAGGUUUUUCUUUAUUCCAAAGAACUUGUAGUUUAAAUUACACAAUCAGAAAGUCCGCAAUUAUGUGAACUAAAGUAAACAUAAAUCCAGUCUGUUGUA